GACGAACGCUGGCGGCGUGCUUAACACAUGCAAGUCGAACGGGUCUGCCCUGUUUUUUGCGGGGUGGGUCAGUGGCGAACGGGUGAGUAACACGUGAGUAACCUGCCCCUCACUUCUGGAUAACCGCUUGAAAGGGUGGCUAAUACGGGGUGUUCUGGCUGUGCCGCAUGGUGUGGCUGGGAAAGAUUCACUUUUGUGGUGUUUUGGUGGGGGAUGGGCUCGCGGCCUAUCAGCUUGUUGGUGGGGUGAUGGCCUGCCAAGGCUUUGACGGGUAGCCGGCCUGAGAGGGUGGGCGGUAACACUGGGAAUGAGAUACGGCCCAGACUCCUGCGGGAGGCAGCAGUGGGGGGUAUUGCACAAUGGGCGGAAGCCUGAUGCAGCGACGUCGCGUGAGGGAUGGAGGCCUUCGGGUUGUGAACCUCUUUCGCCGGUGAAGAAGGUCCUGCUCUUUGUGGUGGGGUUGACGGUAGCCGGGUUAUGAAGCGCCGGCUAACUACGUG
Molecule: ribosomal RNA, 500 nt
Filed under: uncultured bacterium
Lineage: Bacteria
Description: partial 16S ribosomal RNA
Rfam family: Bacterial small subunit ribosomal RNA
Source: RNAcentral